RNAcentral lists this ribosomal RNA (250 nucleotides) under uncultured prokaryote. Its description in RNAcentral is "partial 16S ribosomal RNA". It matches the Rfam family "Bacterial small subunit ribosomal RNA", at positions 524 to 773 of the family's 1533-position model. The record is from RNAcentral.
UACGUAGGUGGCAAGCGUUGUCCGGAUUUACUGGGUGUAAAGGGCGUGUAGACGGGUUUUUAAGUCAGAUGUGAAAUCCCUCGGCUCAACUGAGGAACUGCAUUUGAAACUGGAGAUCUUGAGUGCCGGAGAGGGAAGCGGAAUUCCUAGUGUAGCGGUGAAAUGCGUAGAUAUUAGGAGGAACACCGGUGGCGAAGGCGGCUUUCUGGACGGUAACUGACGUUGAGGCGCGAAAGCGUGGGGAGCAAAC